RNAcentral lists this ribosomal RNA (419 nucleotides) under bacterium. RNAcentral describes it as "partial 16S ribosomal RNA". It matches the Rfam family "Bacterial small subunit ribosomal RNA", at positions 355 to 776 of the family's 1533-position model. The record is from RNAcentral.
UGGGGGAUAUUGCACAAUGGGCGAAAGCCUGAUGCAGCGACGCCGCGUGGGGGAUGAAGGCUUUCGGGUUGUAAACCUCUUUCGCUAUCGAACAAGGCCCGCUUAGGGUGGGUUGAGGGUAGGUGGAGAAGAAGCGCCGGCUAACUACGUGCCAGCAGCCGCGGUAAUACGUAGGGCGCGAGCGUUGUCCGGAAUUAUUGGGCGUAAAGGGCUUGUAGGCGGCUUGUUGCGCCUGCUGUGAAAACGCGGGGCUUAACUUCGCGCGUGCAGUGGGUACGGGCAGGCUUGAGUGUGGUAGGGGUGACUGGAAUUCCAGGUGUAGCGGUGGAAUGCGCAGAUAUCUGGAGGAACACCAUGGCGAAGGCAGGUCACUGGGCCAUUACUGACGCUGAGGAGCGAAAGCAUGGGUAGCGAACAGG